CCCUUAGAUGUUCUGGGCUGCACGCGCGCUACACUGACACACUCAGCGAGUCUCCUGGCCCGAGAGGGUUGGGUAAUCAUGUGAGCGUGUGUCGUGAUGGGGAUAGAAUAUUGUAAUUAUUGCUCUUCAACGAGGAAUUCCUAGUAAGCGCGAGUCAGCAGCUCGCGCUGAUUACGUCCCUGCCCUUUGUACACACCGCCCGUCGCUCCUACCGAUUGAAUGGUCCGGUGAAAUCUCGGGACGGCGGCUUGGUCGCUUGCGUCCGACUGCUGAAACUUGAUUAAACCAUAUCAUUUAGAGGAAGGUGAAGUCGUAACA
This 318-nucleotide ribosomal RNA is filed under the name uncultured eukaryote. Its description in RNAcentral is "partial 18S ribosomal RNA". It matches the Rfam family "Eukaryotic small subunit ribosomal RNA", at positions 1470 to 1796 of the family's 1831-position model. The record is from RNAcentral.